RNAcentral lists this ribosomal RNA (495 nucleotides) under uncultured bacterium. RNAcentral's name for it is "partial 16S ribosomal RNA". It matches the Rfam family "Bacterial small subunit ribosomal RNA", at positions 28 to 507 of the family's 1533-position model. The record is from RNAcentral.
GACGAACGCUGGCGGCGUGCCUAAUACAUGCAAGUAGAACGCUGAAGGAGGAGCUUGCUUCUCUGGAUGAGUUGCGAACGGGUGAGUAACGCGUAGGUAACCUGCCUGGUAGCGGGGGAUAACUAUUGGAAACGAUAGCUAAUACCGCAUAAGAGUAGAUGUUGCAUGACAUUUGCUUAAAAGGUGCAAUUGCAUCACUACCAGAUGGACCUGCGUUGUAUUAGCUAGUUGGUGGGGUAACGGCUCACCAAGGCGACGAUACAUAGCCGACCUGAGAGGGUGAUCGGCCACACUGGGACUGAGACACGGCCCAGACUCCUACGGGAGGCAGCAGUAGGGAAUCUUCGGCAAUGGACGGAAGUCUGACCGAGCAACGCCGCGUGAGUGAAGAAGGUUUUCGGAUCGUAAAGCUCUGUUGUAAGAGAAGAACGAGUGUGAGAGUGGAAAGUUCACACUGUGACGGUAGCUGACCAGAAAGGGACGGCUAACUACGUG